This is a non-coding RNA of Doryrhamphus excisus (bluestripe pipefish), 364 nucleotides long. Lineage: Eukaryota; Metazoa; Chordata; Actinopteri; Syngnathiformes; Syngnathidae. The record is from RefSeq and is a predicted model, not a curated record.
GUUGGUAAAUGUUCUCAAAUGACAUCAAGUGGUUACAUAAACUAGCUAGCAUGUGUAGCAAUAGCAUUAGCAUGUCGUUCUUGCCUCGACUCCGGCAAUAAAUACCCCACUCAUUUCUUCUACAGGACGGGUCUCACGUGAAGGUGUCAUUUUACAACCGAGAUUGUGAGGACACCAUCAUGGCAACCAGUUGGUGAAUGUGCGACUUAAAUAAACACUGCGCAAUUCUUACCAUAGGUGUAAAAACAUGAAAGGAAAACCUGAUGCGGCCCAGCCUUGCCCAGACCACAGCUCCAGUGGCCCCCAGGUUUGGGCUCUCCUGCAACCAAUGCCUUGAAAACAGCGGUUUUCCCUAAAUGACAGG